This is a long non-coding RNA of Passer domesticus (house sparrow), 7769 nucleotides long. RefSeq lists it as uncharacterized. Lineage: Eukaryota; Metazoa; Chordata; Aves; Passeriformes; Passeridae. The transcript is spliced from 3 exons. The record is from RefSeq and is a predicted model, not a curated record.
GGGCUGUCAGCAGCUGGGGCGAGAGGCUGAGGGACAAGCGGGCUGCGGCCGCUCCCUGCAAGGGCGCCAAGGCACCAUUUCUUCGCCAUCCGUGAGGAGAACUUUGAUAUAUCACGUUAUUUUUUUUCCACAGAAGGAUCUUUUUAUGUGGUUACACAUGCACAGGUCUUGAAAACCACAAGCAAGUAAAACCAAACUUCUCCUUCACCACCUUUCUGCUUUUUCUCAGUUCCUGAAGGACUUUGAAGUGCCCAGCAUGAAGUUCCCAGCAGUGCUGAACACCCUGUGUGCCCCAAACACCCCCAGGGAACACAACUCUGCCAGCUGAGACCAACAGGACAAGACUUGAGUGACCAAGUUCCUAAAUUUCAGAAGAAUGCAGUGUCAUAAAGACCUUAAUAAUACUAUGGCCCCUCAAAAUUGGCCAUUUCCACUUAUAAAAAAGCCUUAAGAGAAUCUCCAGCUUGCUGAAAUCCUCAAGACCACGGAAACUGCAGGCAAUAAUUAUUCUCCAGACAAAAGAAACUGGAUAUAUCACACAGCAAGUGGGAGCACCAAACCAGGCAAAAGGGGGUGAGGCAGCUUUCGCUCACCAGCGUAUGAGUGGCUUAAUACUUACAUGGCUAAAUUUCAACUGAUUUGACAAUUAAACACUUGUGCUUUGAAAGACUUCAAGGCAAGUGGGGUUUUGCUUCCCAAAGUAAAGCGAGGGUUAAAUGUUUAUUAUUAUCUAACUGAUUGCUAAGAAACACUAAAACUCUUUUCUGAUCCUUCAAAAUUAAAUAUACAAUCCACCAGAUUCUAUUACUUGCUCGACUGAGUUUGAUUUUAUUGUAUUAAUAAGAAAAAAAUGUUUUAUUUCCUCCCAGAGUAUCGUCUACUUUUCCAUUACUACAACUAGAAAUUGCCAAGAAAAUGAAAUGCUCAAGCACAGCAGACACUGCUUUUCUUCUCAUUAAAUCUUAAAACUUGGUUCCAGUGGGAUCAUAUUUAGUCCUCUCAAAUUCAGAACAGGAUUUCAUCCUGCCUCGACAUCCCAACAAUGACAUUUUAUAAAUAUUACGAGUUUCUUGGACGCCUUUCUCAUUCCACAAGGAGCAGAGAAGCACCAGUAGAGAUUUCUUCUUCUUCCCCUGCUCAAGAUUUUUUAUUAAACCUUAAAUGUAACCAGUCCUCCUUUCAAUCCAUUUUCUCUAGGAUUUUUUUGAGACCUCUAGAAGUCUCACAGAUUUUUCUGAGCUGUAAUAAGUGUGAAAAAUCUUUGACAAAGGAUUGUCUUUAUUCAAGCAUUAAGCUCUCAUUGAGAGAGGUGUUGGAAAUAAACAAGUGCUUAAAAGCAGCCUAAAAGUUGUCUUAAAUCUUCACCUGCUCUCCAGCUGAGACAGGACCUGGAUUUCUAAAUCCAAGAGGAGAAAACAAUAAUUAAAAGAAGUAAAUAAAUCCUUGCAUGACUCUUUAGACAUGAGGGGGUGGGGCAAUCAGAAGAGGAGACACUGAUUUCCUCAUCUUCUGUACAAUCUCCGUGGGUGUCAGCCCAUCUCACCCUUCCAGAAGGUUCAACAUUCAAGGUAUUCUGUAAAGCCAUGCAAACACAAAGCUACUGCAGAACCAAGGAAAUGCAUCCCCAGGAAUUGCAAACUUGGAUUAUUUUCUUUUAAUUUUUCCAAGUCUACGAAUUUUGCUGUGAGGCAGCAGGGCGAGAAAUAAGAAGGCGAUAAAUCAACCUUGUGAAUGUCAGCAGUGUCAGAGAGCAAGAAGAACCAGAACAAUACCACUCAUCGUUUCCCAAAGUAUGUUGAAGUGUGGUCUGUAAAAAGCAGCUGACCUUAAAAUCUUUUUCUCUCACUGAAGCAAAUAAAAGUGACCCCAUUCUCCAGGCACACAGGCAGCACGGCCUUGUGUCUGUACAUCUCUGCUCUGCCCAGCCACCAUCCUACAUACGGAUCCACCAUGGCAAACAACAAACAGCACCAGCGUUCCCCUCGGAACCCUUGGUGCCAACUGAGCCUUCUGACUUUUCACCGCAGUUCACUUCUACCUCAGCGACCAAAGCUUCGCCAGGGAACAACUCAGGCUCACACCUCAUGAACCGACCGGCACAGCCCCCGGCACACAGACCUACCUGUCGCUGCUGGUACUGCUGCUGCUGCUGAGGGAGUCGCUGCUGGAGGAUCUGCUGCGGGAGCCGCUGCCGCUGGGGGAGCGGGCGGGCCGGGCGGCCUGGCUGGCCAGGCGCUGCGGGGACUGCGUCCUGGACUGCGACGAGUGCGGCGAGCGGCUCCGGCUGUGCUGGUAGUUCCGCUCCGGCCUUCUGCCUCGUACCUCCCGUGUAAUGUCAUCCCUGUAGAUAUCCCUGUGUACCACGCUGGGCAAUGUAAACUGCUCCCGGGCCCUAGGUUCGUAUCGGGGGUCGUGAGCGUCAAAGCGGUUUGGACUUCGGCUCCGAGAAGUGUAAUAGAGCCCGUGCUGUAAGGUCCGCUCCCGAGGGUCUCUAUAGUAAUCCUGAUCGUAAUGUCUCGUGCGAUCAAAUCCGCCCGUCCCCCGCUCAUGGUGUCCAUAGGCACUAUGUUCAUAAGCACGCUCCCUGUUAUCUGAAGCCCUGCAUUUGGGAAGGGGGAAAAAUAUUGCAUCAGAAAGGGGCAGGCACAACCAAAAGCAAAUCAUGCAAACAUUCAAGGCAGCACUCGACUUAUUGUUGCGACUGCUUCUCCACUAACCAGCAAUAACCUAUCAAGCAAACAAUGACAAACUUCAAAACAUUUUACUUGACUCCAAAGUUAUAUUUGUAUACGAUCAAGCUGAGCAAUCAUUUUGGUUUAAUCACAAUAUGGGGCUUUCAUGACCAGCAACUUGCCUGCACAGGAAAAAAAUUUCUGCUUUCCCAUGCAGAAUUCUGAUUUCAAUUGUUCUUUUUCUUUUAAAUUCUGUAAACAAGAAAAACUUCAUGUUUGUGGACAUCAUCAACUUCUUUUUCUCUCAAUUUUUUGCUUAAGAGCUUUAAAUUUUUUUUUUCAAAAUUUGGUAAUUACUGGAGCUCUUGUAAUUAUCCUUCUGCAAAAAUGGCAUCACAAAUUGGGCUGUAGCCAUGAAAGCCUCCAUGCAAAGCAUGACCCGGAGGUAAGAAGCUGCUUUCAAAAGGGGUGGCAUAACCCAUAGAGAUUUCCCAGAAAAUUAGGGGGUUUCUUGUUGCUGCUUUAAAAGAUUUCACCCUCUUAGAGGGAAUUUUUGCUUUGACCAGAUUGCUACAAUCAUUCACUGUAAACGUUAUGGAUGCUAAAGAAACAUCUCCAUUACUAAUGCUGGAACUGCAAGGAUGCAGGUGCCCAGAACAUACUAAGACCCUACACAAGGACUGGAAAUCCAAUUUUUAGGCAGUGUUUUUGUUUGGACUGCUGCAAUCAUGGAAUUUCUAUCUCCACAAGCUGCUGCUUUCCAGCAGCUACAGUCCAGUUCAUUUCAGUGUUUUGAACAUUUUAAAUUGAGAAAGGCUCAGUGAUGUUCUGAAUUAGUGUGAUCUCUCAAAUAAAGAGAUUGACAGACAAAGGAACACUACAAAUAGUUGAGUAUUCCAAUUUAGACAAGUACCAGGAUGGUACAUCUUAGUUAUAUCUACAAAAUGGUUACUUUGAACAUUUAAAAAAUACUUCUAAAAUUCUAAGUAUGUCAGGGUAGCCAAAAUUAAUUAAAAAAUUAAUUAUCCAUCUUACAAAUGACAUUUCAACCUUUUUUUCCAGCCUUCUCUCUCAGAUUCUUCCUUUAGAAUCUGUUAUGAGUCACUUCAGUCCCCUGAAUCCUGAUAACCCAAUUCUGCCUUGUGCCUCCUCCUCUCCUGCAUCACAGCUCUAGUUCGAAUGGCAGAAAUAUUUCAGGGAUCUUUUAUAAACUGCAAAUGAGAUUUCAAUCUUUUUUUGAUUAGCAUCUCAGGAAGUUCCUUCCAUUCCUUCUCCAAUGAAUCACUAGAUCCUUAAUCCUCUCAAUAUAUUCACUCUCUGUUGUUAAACUGUAACUCAUAGCAAGCUUUCUAUACGGCUCCCUCACAUCUUGCCUGCAUUUUUUUCUCUCAAAUGAUAUAUAAAAAAUUAUUUAACCAGUGCAAGAGAAUGUCAUUAUCUUCUACAUCUGCUUGAAAUUCAUUGUUGCGUUUCUAUUUCCAUUACCUCUUACUCGCAACAAUGGAAUUUUGAAAGCUAUUUCAGAAUCUGGCACAGAAACGUGUCUCUGUUUUGGUUCUUUUCUCCCCCUUUUGAAGGACCAAGAUCAACAAUUUUACAAACGAUUGCAUUUAGCAUCCUACAAAGUGUUAAUCAGUGAGAGCUGAUUUAAUGAGGUCAGAGAAAAAGCAAUAUUUUCUAGCAGGUUACUGCUACAGAGCUGACAGAAAGAACAAAUCCUUAUCCAUGAGAAGGACACAGAAGACAGACAGAGGAAGCAGAGCUGAACAGCUACUGGCUACAGUGCUUUCUUCAUUUAUCUAUUAGUACUAAGUGCUACUGGAGUUAGUGGAAAGAGAGGGUUUGACUUGGGUUAGGAGAGGGGCUAAUAUACACAGGGCAGGACAUACCAACCUUUUCCAAGUGUGGAAACACGACCUAUAUUCCCAAUUAAAUCUAGGGAGAGAAUUGUGAACAUAACUUCCCCAAUUUUGGCCCCUCUUACAGGGGUAAUCCACCUUCUUAAUGGGCAAGGGUGUCAAAUGAUAUUUUAGAUGAACCAACAAGAAAAAAAAAAUCUUAGUGACAAGACACAAAAAAAAAAAUCCACUGGACGGAAGUAGUCCCAGACUGAAACUGUAAUUCUGAAACCCCCAGACUUCUUUCUUGAGACAGAAGGCACUUAAAUAGAUCCAUAAUUUUAAUUUCCAGCCCUAAGUCUGAAUCAAGCAGCUGGUAGAAGAUCCCCCGAGGCCCGAGGGCCCUCACGCUGCUGCCAGCAGGCAUCCUCUGGCCGCCUUGGUAACCAUCCAGCCCAGUCACUUCUCACUGGUGUAUCCACAAACGGGUAUUAGCACCACGUCCUUAAAGCUAAAGUAUGUUUAAUGUGGAGCAGCAGAGCUUUUUAAGAGACUAGAUAGUAAUCCACUCCCCAUGGCUACUGGCGUCUUGACUGUAUACCAUCCAAUAAAUUCAAGGCAGUAGUUCUUAUCCCAGCUUUAAAAAAAUAAACUAUAAUUUCCAAAAUUUAGUAAUGUCCAUCAUCUCUUUUUGCCAAUACCAUCAGAAAGAAUAAUCCCAAUAACUUGGAAAUGAUGUAGAUCCAAAAUGGAACCAUCACAAGCUGCCUUCGGUCUUCUCCAUCCAAGCGUUAUUUCCAUGGCUAAGAGGUGUCGGUAGAAUCCAAGGGGCUGCAUCAUUAAAGUCUACUCUGAAUUUUGUGGUGACAAUCCAAUUAACAUACCCGCUGCGUAUAGUGAGAACUGAGAGCUAGGCAUCAAGCUUUCACCGAAUUCUAGGUUCUAGUAUUCCGAAGAUACUCCACAGAGAACUUCACCACAAGUUGUAGAGUAAGAUAGCUCCAUCUGGCAGCAGGGAUACAUCCAGCAAGGCCUUAAUAUUAUCCAAGAAAUGGGAUCGCUACUUCUAGAAAAGAGUAACUCCAAUAUCGAUGCUGGCCAAAGGAAAUCUUCCAUCUUAAAACCACCUUAUUUCAAGUGUAGGUAGAUAUCCAACCAGCUGCAGGACACAUCCUCUAUGGAUCCACAAGGUACCAGCCACUGGGAUAGAAAUCACUUCCGUUUCCAACCCAAAAUAGGAAACAUAGAUAAUUCCCAAAAUUUUAAAUCCAUCUGGGGGCCCUAGAUACGAGUUUGUGUUUCUCACCAUAUCAAAUACAAAAUACCUGCCUAGAGAAACCUUGGAACUUACCCAUCAAGUCUUCGCUCAUAACGUCCUUCCCGUGCAUGAAGUGAUGGUGGGGGGCCAUAAGUGGGCCCCCCACCACCUCCUCUGAACCCAGAAACCUCUCUACUACGAGAUGCUAUGGAAACUGUAUCAUCCAAUCCCCGCGCAGCACUGGGAAUGGUUCCUGGCUCAUUAUAAUCCGUCCGUAGGUCUCUAUCUCCCAUUUUGUUGACAGAGUUGUGUGCCUUCUGGGCACUUUUGAUGUCCACAAAAUCCACAAACGCUGCCACUCCGCCUUCCGACCCCCUCUUAGGGAGGAUUUUGACACUUUCGACACGUCCAUAUCUGGAAGAGAAGCAAAGCAGAGCACACACGUUAGUGCUGGUGGGAAGAGACCAUGUUUAAUAACAUUGCCUCCUGCAAAAUCAACAUCCAACCCUUCACCCUUCCCCUCUGCCAGAAAAAUCAAUCAUUGGGAGACACCAAGAGGGGAAAAGCCAUUUGGAGAGGGGAAAAAGCCAUUUAAACUUUCCAUGGUUACAUUUAAACUCCUUUCUGGAAGUGUGGGAAGCCUACCAUGGGAUCACCCUUUUUAUAGCAACAGAGCAGCAGCAGCUGAAGAAAUAGAAAGGUGUUCACAACCAGAGCACCCUGCACAUCAUUAGUCUGACACAAUUAAAGAGGCACAAUUAAAACAAAACCGUGUCACGAGGAAAAAUACAGACAGCCAACAAUUUUCUUAGGAGACAAAUGACCUUGACACAGCAAUUCCACUACUUCAAUCUGUAUUUAACCCAGAGUCUCCACUGCUUCUGAUCCCAAACCAGUUCACUUCCACACCUGGCAGGACACACGGACCCCCAGACCAGGUGCUGCUGGGGUUCAGCCUCCCACCCCCACUGCAGACCCAGCUGCCCAACAGGAGCUGAGAAAUGCCAGAGGGAAUGUGACACCACCCUAAUGUAUGUUAAGUAACUGCAACACUGGCACUUAUGGAUGAGUAAAUGUCUAUGCAAAAUAAAAAUAAACCCAAACAUGUUUGUGUACACAAGGAAACAAGAUGUAGAAACAUAUUUAAAUAACUUGCAUCCACUCACAGUAGAAAGGACAAGCUGGGCGGGAUGAGCACAGUGACAUUUUAACAGCCAACAACUGCAGGGUUUGGGUGCUCAGUUCUCUCUGCCAAAAGAUUCUGAGCAAACCAGGGAAAAGCUUUGAAUUGCAGCUGGUAAUCCAGGACAAGAAAAGGCAGAAAGUGUAUUUCUGAAUGUGCCGACAGAGGAAAGGGACGCACAAAUAAAAAACCUAAUCAGGAAGUAUUUGUAAACUCCAUGAAGAGUUAUUGUGAAAAAAUUUCUAUGCACAAAGGCAGCACAAGGCCAGGCAGAUGUAAACAGACCUUGCACAGGCAAAACUGUUCUCAGCCACACACGCAGGGAGAAGGAACACAACCGCCAGGCUGAGGCACACGCUGUCAGAUCCCCGAGCUGCCUCGGUUUCAUGCCUGCCUUUUCCUACACCUUACAAUUUCAGCAUUGUUGUUGGAUGACUAAUCCUUAAAUACGAUCUGAAAACCUGCCUCGCUGACUGCUGCCUUCUCAUUCCAGCCUGACCUACUACACUUAUAUAUAACCUGGUUUGGAUUUAGAGCCCUUUUUUCCCUGGUUUAUACUCCACUGAACACGGCUGUGCACACAAACAAGAGCAUCUUCCCAGAAAAAUAUAAAUGCCUUGUUGGGCAUAAAGAGACACAGUCACACGCAAGACAUGUUCCUGCCUCUUAGCUGUCCAGGGCUGAGCUUGUCACCUUUGUGCCCCUGGGUACAGCACAGGGAUGUUAAUUCUUGGGAGUUUCCUAAUCUGUAAUUCUCUGGUUAUUUUUUUAUUGUUUCUUUGUAUUUUAUUUCAUUAAAAGCUUCAAAUAAUGGCAAA